Molecule: ribosomal RNA, 447 nt
Filed under: uncultured soil bacterium
Lineage: Bacteria
Description: bacterial SSU rRNA
Rfam family: Bacterial small subunit ribosomal RNA
Source: RNAcentral
AGAACGAACGCUGGCGGCAUGCCUAAUACAUGCAAGUCGAACGAACACUUCGGUGUUAGUGGCGCACGGGUGCGUAACGCGUGGGAAUCUGCCCUUGGGUUCGGAAUAACAGUUGGAAACGACUGCUAAUACCGGAUGAUAUCGAAAGAUCAAAGAUUUAUCGCCCAGGGAUGAGCCCGCGUAGGAUUAGCUAGUUGGUGAGGCAAAGGCUCACCAAGGCGACGAUCCUUAGCUGGUCUGAGAGGAUGAUCAGCCACACUGGGACUGAGACACGGCCCAGACUCCUACGGGAGGCAGCAGUAGGGAAUAUGGACAAUGGGCGCAAGCCUGAUCCAGCAAUGCCGCGUGAGUGAUGAAGGCCUUAGGGUUGUAAAGCUCUUUACCGAGAUGAUAAUGAACAGUAUGGAAGAAGUAACGCCCCGGACUAACUCCGUGCCAGCCAGCCGU